This 468-nucleotide ribosomal RNA is filed under the name uncultured bacterium. RNAcentral describes it as "partial 16S ribosomal RNA". It matches the Rfam family "Bacterial small subunit ribosomal RNA", at positions 28 to 507 of the family's 1533-position model. The record is from RNAcentral.
GACGAACGCUGGCGGCGUGCUUAACACAUGCAAGUCGAACGGAAAGGCCCUGCUUUUGUGGGGUGCUCGAGUGGCGAACGGGUGAGUAACACGUGAGUAACCUGCCCUUGACUUUGGGAUAACUUCAGGAAACUGGGGCUAAUACCGGAUAGGAGCUCCUGCUGCAUGGUGGGGGUCGGAAAGUUUCGGCGGUUGUGGAUGGACUCGCGGCUUAUCAGCUUGUUGGUGGGGUAGUGGCUUACCAAGGCUUUGACGGGUAGCCGGCCUGAGAGGGUGACCGGCCACAUUGGGACUGAGAUACGGCCCAGACUCCUACGGGAGGCAGCAGUGGGGAAUAUUGCACAAUGGGCGGAAGCCUGAUGCAGCAACGCCGCGUGCGGGAUGACGGCCUUCGGGUUGUAAACCGCUUUCGCCUGUGACGAAGCGUGAGUGACGGUAAUGGGUAAAGAAGCACCGGCUAACUACGUG